UACAGAGGUGGCAAGCGUUGUUCGGAAUUACUGGGCGUAAAGGGCGCGUAGGCGGCCUUGUCAGUCAGACGUGAAAUCCCCAGGCUUAACCUGGGAACUGCGUCUGAUACUACAAGGCUGGAGUUCAGGAGAGGAAUGUGGAAUUCCAGGUGUAGCGGUGAAAUGCGUAGAUAUCUGGAGGAACACCGGUGGCGAAGGCGGCAUUCUGGACCGAAACUGACGCUGAUGCGCGAAAGCCAGGGGAGCAAACGGG
Molecule: ribosomal RNA, 253 nt
Filed under: uncultured bacterium
Lineage: Bacteria
Description: partial 16S ribosomal RNA
Rfam family: Bacterial small subunit ribosomal RNA
Source: RNAcentral